UGCACAGAAGGUGUUAGGCGACUAAUGCUGGAGCGAUUUGAAAAGAAAAUGUAGGCAUAAGUAACGAUAAUUAAAGUGAAAAACUUUAACGCGAAAAGUCUAAGGUUUCCUGAUCAACGUUAAUCGGAUCAGGGUUAGUCUGGUCCUUAGGAAAACCCGAAAGGGGCAUCUGAUGGAAAGAGGGUUAAUAUUCCCUCACCUGCCAUACAAUAAAAG
RNAcentral lists this ribosomal RNA (216 nucleotides) under Paraphysomonas vestita. RNAcentral describes it as "partial Bacterial large subunit ribosomal RNA". It matches the Rfam family "Bacterial large subunit ribosomal RNA", at positions 1246 to 1461 of the family's 2925-position model. The record is from RNAcentral. Lineage: Eukaryota; Chrysophyceae; Chromulinales; Paraphysomonadaceae.